GACGCCGCUUGAGGGAUGACGGCCUUCGGGUUGUAACCUCUUUCAGUAGGGAAGAAGCCUUUCGGGGUGACGGUACUUGCAGAAGAAGCGCCGGCUAACUACGUGCCAGCAGCCGCGGUAAUACGUAGGGCGCAAGCGUUAUCCGGAAUUAUUGGGCGUAAAGAGCUCGUAGGCGGUUUGUCGCGUCUGCUGUGAAAGACCGGGGCUCAACUCCGGUUCUGCAGUGGGUACGGGCAGACUAGAGUGCAGUAGGGGAGACUGGAAUUCCUGGUGUAGCGGUGAAAUGCGCAGAUAUCAGGAGGAACACCGAUGGCGAAGGCAGGUCUCUGGGCUGUAACUGACGCUGAGGAGCGAAAGCAUGGGGAGCGAACAGGAUUAGAUACCCUGGUAGUCCAUGCCGUAAACGUUGGGCACUAGGUGUGGGGGACAUUCCACGUUUUCCGCGCCGUAGCUAACGCAUUAAGUGCCCCGCCUGGGGAGUACGGCCGCAAGGCUAAAACUCAAAGGAAUUGACGGGGGCCCGCACAAGCGGCGGAGCAUGCGGAUUAAUUCGAUGCAACGCGAAGAACCUUACCAAGGCUUGACAUGGACCGGAAAGACCUGGAAACAGGUGCCCCGCUUGCGGCCGGUUUACAGGUGGUGCAUGGUUGUCGUCAGCUCGUGUCGUGAGAUGUUGGGUUAAGUCCCGCAACGAGCGCAACCCUCGUUCUAUGUUGCCAGCGGUUCGGCCGGGGACUCAUAGGAGACUGCCGGGGUCAACUCGGAGGAAGGUGGGGACGACGUCAAAUCAUCAUGCCCCUUAUGUCUUGGGCUUCACGCAUGCUACAAUGGCCGGUACAAAGGGUUGCGAUACUGUGAGGUGGAGCUAAUCCCAAAAAGCCGGUCUCAGUUCGGAUUGGGGUCUGCAACUCGACCCCAUGAAGUCGGAGUCGCUAGUAAUCGCAGAUCAGCAACGCUGCGGUGAAUACGUUCCCGGGCCUUGUACACACCGCCCGUCAAGUCACGAAAGUUGGUAACACCCGAAGCC
RNAcentral lists this ribosomal RNA (1027 nucleotides) under Paenarthrobacter nicotinovorans. RNAcentral's name for it is "bacterial SSU rRNA". It matches the Rfam family "Bacterial small subunit ribosomal RNA", at positions 393 to 1428 of the family's 1533-position model. Lineage: Bacteria; Bacillati; Actinomycetota; Actinomycetes; Micrococcales; Micrococcaceae. The record is from RNAcentral.